AACUAACAGAUUUACUUCGGUAAUGACGUUAGGAAAGCGAGCGGCGGAUGGGUGAGUAACACGUGGGGAACCUGCCCCAUAGUCUGGGAUACCACUUGGAAACAAGUGCUAAUACCGGAUAAGAAAGCAGAUCGCAUGAUCAGCUUUUAAAAGGCGGCGUAAGCUGUCGCUAUGGGAUGGCCCCGCGGUGCAUUAGCUAGUUGGUAAGGUAAAGGCUUACCAAGGCGAUGAUGCAUAGCCGAGUUGAGAGACUGAUCGGCCACAUUGGGACUGAGACACGGCCCAAACUCCUACGGGAGGCAGCAGUAGGGAAUCUUCCACAAUGGACGCAAGUCUGAUGGAGCAACGCCGCGUGAGUGAAGAAGGUUUUCGGAUCGUAAAGCUCUGUUGUUGGUGAAGAAGGAUAGAGGUAGUAACUGGCCUUUAUUUGACGGUAAUCAACCAGAAAGUCACGGCUAACUACGUGCCAGCAGCCGCGGUAAUACGUAGGUGGCAAGCGUUGUCCGGAUUUAUUGGGCGUAAAGCGAGCGCAGGCGGAAGAAUAAGUCUGAUGUGAAAGCCCUCGGCUUAACCGAGGAACUGCAUCGGAAACUGUUUUUCUUGAGUGCAGAAGAGGAGAGUGGAACUCCAUGUGUAGCGGUGGAAUGCGUAGAUAUAUGGAAGAACACCAGUGGCGAAGGCGGCUCUCUGGUCUGCAACUGACGCUGAGGCUCGAAA
This 717-nucleotide ribosomal RNA is filed under the name uncultured Bacilli bacterium. Its description in RNAcentral is "bacterial SSU rRNA". It matches the Rfam family "Bacterial small subunit ribosomal RNA", at positions 65 to 758 of the family's 1533-position model. The record is from RNAcentral. Lineage: Bacteria; Bacillati; Bacillota; Bacilli.